CCCAGCGGUAGUCAGCUGUGCAGGCCAGUCCAUGCCUGAGCUAGUGUUACUCUGCUGGAAGAGAAAGGUGCUGCCGUUUGUGCUCCUGCAGGUUUGGCUGUUUUAGUGACUCCUGCUGUGCAGCACAGGUCAAGCCGUGCCUUCUGAGAGUGGUCUGUGCUCACACAAUGAGGCAGGCCUAGUCUGAGGGCGAACACU
Cyprinus carpio carpio is the source of this 198-nucleotide small nucleolar RNA. Its record names the gene SNORA74. It matches the Rfam family "Small nucleolar RNA SNORA74". Rfam says of the family: U19 belongs to the H/ACA class of snoRNAs. snoRNAs bind a number of proteins (including dyskerin, Gar1p and Nop10p in the case of the H/ACA class) to form snoRNP complexes. This class are thought to guide the sites of modification of uridines to pseudouridines by forming direct base pairing interactions with substrate RNAs. Lineage: Eukaryota; Metazoa; Chordata; Actinopteri; Cypriniformes; Cyprinidae. The record is from Ensembl.